UGAUGAACAGAAGUUGGGUGUGUUACUCAAUGAUCAUUUCGCCAGCAUUGACAUAACACACACCUGUCGUCGCCUCACCAUGCUCUUCUUCCUUCACUGGAAUGGUUUGAAAGGGAUAUUCAAAACAUUGCCACUUCUACACGCUAUAGAAGGCACAGCCAAUGAAAAUGGGGGCAUUCCAGAGGACAGUGAGACCCUCCCAGACCAAACUGCACCAGAGGCCGCGGCACAGCCAGCCAGUGAGAGCUCCAUAGCCCCAGCCACAGCAGAGCCCACAGGGAGCCCACAGGCAGAGGGCACUGAGGCUGCUGCCUCUGCUGCCUCCGCUGCCUCUGCCCCUGAGUCCUCCAGCCCCGCUCCAGCCUCCAGUGACUCCACAGCCCUGCCGGCAGCAUCUGAGGGUGAUGCCCCAGCAGAGGGCACCUCGAAUGAGGCUGCAGCUGCGUCUGGAUCCCCUGCCGAGGCCUCAGACAGCCCUGCUGAGUCAGCCCCCGAGCCAGCAGAGGGGACAACAGAAGAUGCUGCAUCAUCAGAGACCCCGGCUGAAUCCAACCCUGAAGCCCCAGCUCCCACCGAGGGGAACUAAGGGUGCCCCAGAGGGACACAUACCCACAAAACCCCAUGAUGCUCACCACAUUUCACAGUGUGCAAAAGCAAGACUGUAAAUCCACAGGGAACUUUAUUUAUAAAACCUUUAAAUUGGAGGCAGUUGAGCAAUAGCUUGUAACAGCUCAGGUACCAGCACACAAGGAGUCUGAUUACAGGAAGUUAUAUUUGAACCCCUUUUAUAUAGUCAUUUUAGUUUGAAAGUUAAAGUUGGUUAAAGUCACCUGGAACCAACCGUGCUUUUACAAUGGUCCCUACUGUGAGGGUCACGUCUACAAUAAUUCAGCAAUUGUCUGUUGCCAAGAUAGACAGACCAGUCUCAAAAGCUGGAGUCUAACAGAGUGACUGUGCCUUCAUUUCCUUCUGUUGGUGUGUGAGAAGAAUUUAUACUUUUGUAUAUACCAUAUUUCACCAGCACAAUAAGAUAAGAGAUUAUAUAAAUUACAUAGUAUAUAGCUUAAUGUCUUUGAAAUACAACUACUUUACUGUGAAAGGUUUGACUUUUUUUUUACGUAAAAGUCAAGACUUGGACUUAAUCGCCUUACACCUCUGUGUAUUUCACAAAUACACAGGCUAUAUAUGUAUUGUAUAAUCCACGACCAUUUAAAUGAUUGAAAGCCAAAGAAUUUGCAAAGAUUUAAAUUUUCUUUAUGCAGCCUCGUCCAUUUUACUGUAAUUUCCUGAAUCAGAAAUAAAAGGUCAACUGAAAAUUUGCCUUGUGAACCUGAAAGUAAGUUGAUGUCAGUCAUACCAGCAUGGGUAUAAAAGGUAAAUUAGGCUCCGCUCAUUUGCAUCUCUGAAACCAUAUUAAAUGUUUAAGAAUUCAAAUCAGGUCCCAGCCACAUGUAUUAUUCGUCCACCUCUGAGAAGAUUCUUCAUGUUGUUAAUGUUUGAUGCAUAUCUGUCAGCACAGUGUCGUAUGUCAGCUUGUCUACCUAACUGGGCUGAAGAAGAUGCUGUUGAAGCCUGUGGCCUUUCCAAAGCAGACAGUUUGGUUUGUUCAUAGCAAUACGUAAAGCAAGUUUCAAUGAAGAAAUGGUGGAGUUAUGGUUAAGAUCAUCGGUAUGUCUAUAGUGAUAGUGAGUAAAAUUAAACAUUAAAACUUUGCCUCAAUGACUAAAGCACCAGGGGCCUAUACUAUGAAGCCAGUUCAACAUGCAGGCUAUCUUUUUGUCAGCUGGCUUCACAAACCCUAACAACUGAAGGCACGUAUCAACAAUCUCACAACAGUGGUUAUCAAUGUGUUAAAUCAACCCAAGUUUACCCAAUCCCACUAUGAGUGUGUUCCCGUAAAAGUGUUGGCACCAAAUGACCAAUCACAAACAUGGAAAGGGCUAGAGCUGCAUAUUUCACUCAAGAACAAACUAUAAUCCUUAAGAACUAUGAAGAA
This is a long non-coding RNA of Clupea harengus (Atlantic herring), 1996 nucleotides long. The record is from Ensembl. NCBI's taxonomy places the organism in Eukaryota, Metazoa, Chordata, Actinopteri, Clupeiformes, Clupeidae.